RNAcentral lists this ribosomal RNA (1520 nucleotides) under Klebsiella pneumoniae. RNAcentral's name for it is "bacterial SSU rRNA". It matches the Rfam family "Bacterial small subunit ribosomal RNA". The record is from RNAcentral. Lineage: Bacteria; Pseudomonadati; Pseudomonadota; Gammaproteobacteria; Enterobacterales; Enterobacteriaceae.
AGAGUUUGAUCAUGGCUCAGAUUGAACGCUGGCGGCAGGCCUAACACAUGCAAGUCGAGCGGUAGCACAGAGAGCUUGCUCUCGGGUGACGAGCGGCGGACGGGUGAGUAAUGUCUGGGAAACUGCCUGAUGGAGGGGGAUAACUACUGGAAACGGUAGCUAAUACCGCAUAAUGUCGCAAGACCAAAGUGGGGGACCUUCGGGCCUCAUGCCAUCAGAUGUGCCCAGAUGGGAUUAGCUAGUAGGUGGGGUAAUGGCUCACCUAGGCGACGAUCCCUAGCUGGUCUGAGAGGAUGACCAGCCACACUGGAACUGAGACACGGUCCAGACUCCUACGGGAGGCAGCAGUGGGGAAUAUUGCACAAUGGGCGCAAGCCUGAUGCAGCCAUGCCGCGUGUGUGAAGAAGGCCUUCGGGUUGUAAAGCACUUUCAGCGGGGAGGAAGGCGGUGAGGUUAAUAACCUCACCGAUUGACGUUACCCGCAGAAGAAGCACCGGCUAACUCCGUGCCAGCAGCCGCGGUAAUACGGAGGGUGCAAGCGUUAAUCGGAAUUACUGGGCGUAAAGCGCACGCAGGCGGUCUGUCAAGUCGGAUGUGAAAUCCCCGGGCUCAACCUGGGAACUGCAUUCGAAACUGGCAGGCUAGAGUCUUGUAGAGGGGGGUAGAAUUCCAGGUGUAGCGGUGAAAUGCGUAGAGAUCUGGAGGAAUACCGGUGGCGAAGGCGGCCCCCUGGACAAAGACUGACGCUCAGGUGCGAAAGCGUGGGGAGCAAACAGGAUUAGAUACCCUGGUAGUCCACGCCGUAAACGAUGUCGAUUUGGAGGUUGUGCCCUUGAGGCGUGGCUUCCGGAGCUAACGCGUUAAAUCGACCGCCUGGGGAGUACGGCCGCAAGGUUAAAACUCAAAUGAAUUGACGGGGGCCCGCACAAGCGGUGGAGCAUGUGGUUUAAUUCGAUGCAACGCGAAGAACCUUACCUGGUCUUGACAUCCACAGAACUUUCCAGAGAUGGAUUGGUGCCUUCGGGAACUGUGAGACAGGUGCUGCAUGGCUGUCGUCAGCUCGUGUUGUGAAAUGUUGGGUUAAGUCCCGCAACGAGCGCAACCCUUAUCCUUUGUUGCCAGCGGUUAGGCCGGGAACUCAAAGGAGACUGCCAGUGAUAAACUGGAGGAAGGUGGGGAUGACGUCAAGUCAUCAUGGCCCUUACGACCAGGGCUACACACGUGCUACAAUGGCAUAUACAAAGAGAAGCGACCUCGCGAGAGCAAGCGGACCUCAUAAAGUAUGUCGUAGUCCGGAUUGGAGUCUGCAACUCGACUCCAUGAAGUCGGAAUCGCUAGUAAUCGUAGAUCAGAAUGCUACGGUGAAUACGUUCCCGGGCCUUGUACACACCGCCCGUCACACCAUGGGAGUGGGUUGCAAAAGAAGUAGGUAGCUUAACCUUCGGGAGGGCGCUUACCACUUUGUGAUUCAUGACUGGGGUGAAGUCGUAACAAGGUAACCGUAGGGGAACCUGCGGUUG